This 492-nucleotide ribosomal RNA is filed under the name uncultured bacterium. RNAcentral's name for it is "partial 16S ribosomal RNA". It matches the Rfam family "Bacterial small subunit ribosomal RNA", at positions 29 to 507 of the family's 1533-position model. The record is from RNAcentral.
AGUGAGCGCUGGCGGUAGGCCUAACACAUGCAAGUCGAACGGCAGCACAGUAAGAGCUUGCUCUUACGGGUGGCGAGUGGCGGACGGGUGAGGAAUACAUCGGAAUCUACUUUUUCGUGGGGGAUAACGUAGGGAAACUUACGCUAAUACCGCAUACGACCUACGGGUGAAAGCAGGGGAUCUUCGGGCCUUGCGCGAUUGAAUGAGCCGAUGUCGGAUUAGCUAGUUGGCGGGGUAAAGGCCCACCAAGGCGACGAUCCGUAGCUGGUCUGAGAGGAUGAUCAGCCACACUGGAACUGAGACACGGUCCAGACUCCUACGGGAGGCAGCAGUGGGGAAUAUUGGACAAUGGGCGCAAGCCUGAUCCAGCCAUACCGCGUGGGUGAAGAAGGCCUUCGGGUUGUAAAGCCCUUUUGUUGGGAAAGAAAAGCAGCAGGUUAAUACCCCGCUGUUCUGACGGUACCCAAAGAAUAAGCACCGGCUAACUUCGUG